GAUAAGGACUUGAAAACUGACUUGCAGUCUCUCUCUUCUGUGCCACACAGAAAGAUUUCUGCAGCCUGCAAUUUCUCUUGGCUUAAACAAUACUUAUCAAAUGAGAACAUAACUAUAUAGUAGCUUCUGAUGCUGUUUAACAGAGUUGGCUUUUAACUCUGCAGAAGGUUUUCUGCCCAGGGGAAAAAAAAAAUCUAUAGAAAGGCUAUAAACCUUAUGGAUUAAUAAACAACACCAGAAAGACAUCAAAGUAAGUACAGUGAAUUUUGAAAAAAAGGAACACAUGAAGAGGAGGUCUUGCAUCAAGAACUGACUACAUAAAUGGUGGCAUCAUCAAUGGAGACUAGAUUUGUAUUUAUGCUCAAGAAAGAAAAGAGUAUGAAGAAAAAAAUGUUCUAGAAUCUCUGGAGUCAGAUUACUUCAAAAACCAAACUGAAUUAAAACCAACAAACAAACAAACAAACCAACAAGGAGAUGAAGCCUUAGAAGCCCUUAUAUAAAUGUUUCAGGACAUCAAGAACACCUUGCUAAAUGAAUUUCCUAUGCAUAAGCAGCAUACUCAUUUUUCAUACCUCAAUAUUUAAUUACCAUGUGAUAAUAAUACAAACAGUGAGAGAGGAUAGCAGUACUUUCCACAAGACAACAACAGUGUUUUUCAUUAAAAAUAAAAUGUCCUUUCUGCACAGAUUUUUUUUUCAAUUUUUAUUUUUUUUUAGCAUACAAAUUUAAUUAAAACACCAGUAACAUUUUUUAACAUUGAUCAUAAAUGGAUUAUAGAACAUAGAAUGACUCAUUAAAAUGAGCAAGAUAAACCUGCAAAUAGGGAACAUUUAAAUUUUCUUGACUUACCACCUUUUUCCUAUGCUUCUUUAAUUUUUAACAAUACCACGUAUGAUUUUUUAUGUGUCAUUAGUGGCACUUACUGAGAGUAGGACUGGAAUCCAAACAACCUCAUUUUCCUGUUGCUGGCACUAACAACAUAUGUUUUCCUAACAUCAGAUCUUCAACAAUAACAAUAUUAGCACAUUUCUUAUAUAUCCAGAACUUUCCUCCUUUUCUGUUUCUUCAGUUGGAAGUUUAUUUGUUUGUUCUGCAUCUUUAUUUUAUAGGUAGUCAUUUUCACAUCUGCAAACAUUCUUUUUCUUUAGAUUUUUUUUGUUUGAUCAGUGUUAGGAUGUUAUGCAGUUAACUUCUUUUUAUU
Molecule: long non-coding RNA, 1201 nt
Organism: Cygnus atratus (black swan)
Lineage: Eukaryota; Metazoa; Chordata; Aves; Anseriformes; Anatidae
Exons: 6
Source: RefSeq, a predicted model, not a curated record